Molecule: long non-coding RNA, 8485 nt
Filed under: Brassica rapa (field mustard)
Lineage: Eukaryota; Viridiplantae; Streptophyta; Magnoliopsida; Brassicales; Brassicaceae
Description: long non-coding RNA (BRAP_LNC005696)
Source: RNAcentral
GGAAGAUGGAUUGCUACAUACAACCUGUGGUAGUCCUAACUACGUCGCGCCUGAGGUUCUAGCUAACAAGGGCUAUGAUGGUGCAGCAUCAGAUAUAUGGUCAUGUGGAAUAAUCUUGUAUGUUAUUCUUACUGGUUGUCUCCCUUUUGAUGAUACAAACCUUGCCGUUCUCUGCCGGAAGGUGCUGCUUUUGUUUUGGAUAGUUAAGAUUAUGUUUUGAAAGAAACAUAACUCAAAGAUAUUUGCCUUUUUCAGAUAUUCAAAGGCGACCCUCCAGUACCUAGAUGGUUAUCACCUGGUGCUAAAACCAUGAUCAAAAGAAUGCUCGAUCCAAAUCCAGUCACAAGGAUGACAGUCGCAAGUAUUAUGGCUAAUGAUUGGUUCAAACACGAGUACUCUCCUUCCAGUUGUGAUAAUGAAGAUGAUGAAGAAGAUGUAAGAAUCUGUUGCGUCUCAUCAUGUUGGCGUUCCCAUGCACUUGGAUCUAUGUGCAUUGCCUUUCUCAAAAUCUUGCCUUUUUUGUUAUUUAUGAUAAAGGUAUCAGAAGAAGAGAAGAGCCAUGAUUCACCAACCAUCAUCAACGCCUUUCAGCUGAUCGCAAUGUCACCGUUUCUUGACCUCUCCGGUUUGUUUGAGACAGAGGUAAACAAUACAUUCUUGUCUUCAUUUACUCUGUUUCAAGAUUGUUCUUUGCUCACAACAAAGAUGUGUAUUACUUUGACUCAGACUGUAUCAGAGAGGCAGAUAAGGUUCAUGUCAAAUAGGUUAGCCACUGAUGUUAUGGAGAAAAUAAAAACAAUCCUCAUGGAGAUGGGUUUCUGCGUACAGAAGAAACACACAAUGGUGAGAGGGAGACUCUUUUGCUCUCUUCUUGCUCUCUUUGUCUUAUCUGCUACUUGCAAGUAAUUUAAGUGGUGAGAACUGAUGUUGCUUCAGUUAAAAGCAAUCCGAGAAGAGAGUACUCGAAAAGGGCAAGGCGGGUUAUCACUAACGGCGGAGGUAUUCAAGAUGAUCCCAUCGCUGAAUAUGAUUGAACUAAGAAAAUCACAUGGCGAUUCAUCUCUAUAUAAACAGGUAAUAAUACAGUCUUCUUGUAUAAGUUAUAUGGCACGUCUAUGUUUCUACAAUCAUGACCUAAAACAGCUUAUUGUUUAUGGGUUGGCGCAGUUGUGCGAGAGAUUACUAAACGAAUUUGACGCAUCAUCCCAAAGAUGAAGAACAAAGGGUUGCUGCAAAUCAGACAAAACCGCAUCAUCUCCUCACUGCUUAACACACACACAGAAAAGAAAGACGAAAGCUUAAAAAGGAGUACUACAAUAUUACUCUCUCUUUUUUUUUUUGUCACAAAUACUACAAUAUUACUCUAAAGUCGUAUUAGUUAGAUGAUCUUACAUAGAUGUUCCAAAACAACAAAGCAGCUAAAGAGAAUCUGAAACUAAAACAGCGCAAGGGUAAGAGAGUCUGAAACUAAACCAGAUGAUAUUACUAAGAGUUCAUCAUGUUAUAUCUACCACCAUGUUGAUAACUAGCUCAUCCUGCAAAAAAAAAAAAAAAAAAGGUUGGAAGUUCUGUUAGGAGAUACAAUUACAACUACAAAAAUCUAUUAGAUCACAAUACCUGUAAUACGGGGGUGUACACUGUACAGGAGGGAUCAUCGGACCACCUCCAUUAACCAUAGAAGCAGCAGCUCUCUCAGGAUCAUCGGAAGACCAAAGCCAAGUCACGUUGGCAAUGGGGUAGACGCUUGGUGAGGAGCUUUCAGGUAGGGCUAACAUCAUAAAGAUAUCCCUUCUCCAUUCUUUAAUCGCACCCAUCACAUCAUAGUUUCCAGAAAUGACCAAUAUGUUGGCCCUGUUGGCAAGCGCUUUCAUGGUGAUCUCCAUGACCAAAAAAGUGGCAGCUUGAUCUGACAAAAGAAAAAAAACAGUUACUAAUAAUCGGCUUUAGAUAAAUAAAAAAAAAACAACUCAAUUAGGUAUCAAAUAAAGAAAGUGGAGGGUGAGAAAGAUUUUUAACCAGCCAAGUCACGGUCUGGUCCUCGAGUAUGAUAAUCUGGCAUGGGUGAGAGUUCGAUCUCAUCAGGGAGCAUGGUAAUGGCUUCAUGUUUGUCUCCGGUGGCGGUUCCAACCGCAAUCAGUUUCCCUUCAAUAAAGAAAUCAGGAUUGCAUCGUUUGAGGGCAGUUUCAAUGCUCGUUUUGAGACUCCAAAGAUCGUAGCCAUGGGGGAUCCAAUAAUAUUGGUAGUCCCAGAUGACAGUAACACCCGCAGGGGAACUCAUAACUAUCCUCCUGUAAGAUGAAGUUCUACAACAAUCAGACCAAAUAAUCAAGAGAAGGCCAUUCAUUAAUCAUCUAAUCUUUUAGCUAAACGAGAAUCCAAAAUCCCCUAGAAACAAUAAUGUAAUCCAAAAACCCUACAUUUUAAAAAAAAUCACGAAAGUCAGAUUUCAACAGUUUACUUGUCUUUUGUCAGUGACCAAAUCGAUCUCAACCGAAUCGUUCCGAGCAACGAGAAAGAGUGCGAAGAAGAGAAUCAAAUCAAAUGGAGCAAAGAAAAAGACUUACGCUUCUUUCUGUGACUGACCCAGAAGAGACCUCGCAAGCAGAGUGUGGCAAAGAUAUGUUUUUUUCUUUUCUUUUCCCUUUUUAAUUUAGAUUUGGACGGCAAAAAUAUGUUUCACGAGCCGGAUGAAAAAGUCAUUAAUUAAAUGUUUUGUUUCAAUAAAGGGCGGGUAUAUUUAAAUUUUAAUUUUCUUUAUUAUUUCAAAGAAUUUAAAUUUUAUAUUUGUAUUUAAUACUGAUUAAAUUUAAUAUAUUCUUUGUUAACUAUAUUAAAUAUUUCAAAUUGCAUAACUAACUAUACACUUGUACCAUAUGUAUUCCAAAAAUUAUUUAUAAAUUUUAUUGAUAUAGCUUGCAACAUAGUAUAUUUUUUUAAUAGUUACAUAAUUAUAACCUAUAUCAACUCUUAUUGCUCACAUUAUAUUACUAAACUUAUAUUAGGUUUUAUAAAAAUAAGUACCAAAUUAUAGAAAUUAUUUUGUUUGAAAAAAAUAUAGAUUAAUCUUAUCUUAUUAAACAUCAAUUAGGCAAUAAAUCUUAAUCAAAAUCUAUUAAAAUAUAGUAGCAAUUUAAAAAGCCCAUUGAGAUACAAAUUGCAACAAAUUAUUAGAUUUUUAGAUUAAAAACGAGGUCCAACUGUCUAAGAUCCAAGCUUAAUUUUUCUCCGACCAAUGAAAAAUAUAUAUAUAGUAUUUUCUUUCUAUUAAUAGCACAAUUGUAACUAAACCGUCUUCAUCCUAAAAAGGCUUUAAGGUUCCUGCAACUUUCUCCAUGGUUGUCAUCCAAAUUUCUUCAACAACGAUUAUAACUUAGCCUUUGUCUUAUUGUUUUCUCAUCAAAUAUACCGAUCUGGUAGCCAGUAUACGAUUGCUAUCAUUCAAAUUUUGGCUGCAACUGGAAUGUAUUUUUUUGGAAUAAAAAUUUCCUGAAUGCUUCAUUCAUGUGCAUUCCAAAAAAAUUUCACCAGUUACAAUUAAAAAAUGGAAUGUGUAUUCCAUUUCAUUCCAUAACAUUUCAUACCAUUCCAGAAAAAAAAUUAACUAUCAUUUGAAAAAUCAUUCCAAAUCAAAAACGUUUUAGAAUAAGUGGAAUGCUGAUUCCAUUCCAUUAAAUUCCAGAAAUUAUAAUUCAUAUUCCAUACAUUCCUUCUAGUUGUCACCAGUUACACCCUUUAUUUUUAAAAUGAUCUUUUUUUAUGAAACAAUUUGUUAGCUGAGAUUAAAUUGAUUCAUUCAUUUAUAACUAUGAAGAAUCUUUCGCUUGUUCGAGAAAAUGAUUUUGAAAAAUUUAAUUGAACAAAGGAUUUGUUAGCCAAGAAACAUUUUUUUAUAACCAUAAAAGGAAGUGAAAGAACUUGGGUCCCACCCCGUAUCGUACGCUUCUUAGGCUAUCAACAUUGGUUUACACUUUCAACAUCCUCCACAUCAUCUUCUCUCACUUCCACAUCAUCUUCUCUCUCUUAUAUCUAAUAAUUCAACACCCACCCACUUACAAUGGUUUGUUGAAUUUUAUUUACACACUCUACCCUACAAUUUGUUUUCACUAAUUUUGUUUUUCAUAUGUUUUGUAAUAUAUAUUAACAAUAAUUCAAUAAAAUCAAAUUAAAAUAUUUUAGAAUCAAACAAAUGUUUUAAAUAAUUUUUUUAAUUUUUAAAUUUAAUAUAAAAUAAAAUAUUUAAGGGGAAAAAUAAAUAAAAACUUUAUUAAAAUCAAUAAAAUUACAAGAAAAUAAAAUAUAAUACAAUACAUUAAUAAGCAGUUUAAUUAGUGCAAUAAACUCAAUCGACAAACUUAAAAAUCUCUUCAACCAUGAAACAUUCCAAACUUUUCCCAUAUGUGUUUGACUAAAUCUACUUGCAAUUCAUGAUGCACAUUGGAAUCACGCAAUUCCGAUCUAGCACGUACAUGAUUUGCAAAUGCAGGUAGCACUUCAGUCGAGAAUGGUUGUGGUGCAUUAGAUCCACUUGCCUCAGAUUGAUCAUAGUCAGUCCAGUGUUGAGCAUAUGUAUCUCGUUCAUCUUCAACAAUCAUGUUAUGCAAUAUGAUACAUGACCUCAUUAUAAUAGCCAAAUCGGAAAUGUCCCACAUGCGAGCUGGUUCAUGAAUGAUUUUACAUCGAGACUGCAACACUCGAAAUGCACGUUCGAUGUCCUUCCGGCAACCCUCUUUGAACUUGUGCAAAUAACUUGUUCGGUUCACUUUGAGGAAGCCUAAUCGAUUUGAUGAAAGUAGGACAAGAAGGAUAGAUACUGCCAGCUAGAUAAUACGCCAUAUUAUACGGACAUUGGUUCACGAAGAAGUUCAAUCUUGGAGUAUUUUCUUGUUCAACAUCAUCGAACACUGGUAAACGAUCUAGAACGUUUAUAUCGUUUAAUGUGCCGGUACAUCCAAAAAAAGCAUGCCAGAUCCAUAGAUCAUGGGAUGCAACUGCUUCAAGAAUAACAGUGGUGGUUCCCUUAUCUCCGUGAGUAAAUUGUCCUUUCCACGCUGUAAGACAAUUUUUCCAUUCCAGUGCAUACAAUCAAUACUCUCAAUCAUCCCCGGAAACUCUCGUUUUUCACUAACAUGCAAAAUUCUUUGCAGAUACACUUACUCAUACAAUUAUAUGAUUCCCUUACAGAAUCUACACAAGCACUCCAAAGCUGUAGUACCUCCAAUUUUGAUGUAUUCAUCCACCACGUCGGCUGCAACACCAUAUGCUAACAUUCGCAUGGUCGUGGUACAUUUUGCUAAUGGAGAUAUACCUUCUUUAUUAGCUGCGUCAAAUCGCUGGGUGAAGUAGUCGUCACUGCUUGAUAGAUCCAAAACAACCCGGAGAAAAACAUGUUUUCGCAUCUGGAAUCGUCGACGAAACAUUGCAUCAUCAUAUGUAUGUUGAUUGGAAAAGUAGUCGUCAAUCAGCCUUUGAUUUGCAGCUGCAUGAUCUCUCUUGAAGUAUCUUCUCUUGUUACUAGAUGGAUAAUCUUGCUCUAUUUUUUGUCGACGCUCUCUAAAGUGGUUUAGGAUAUACCUCUCUUCAAUUUCAGACUGUCUUUUGUAAGCUUCGAUAUCAAAAUCAAAUUCUGAUGGAUUCAUUGAGAUUGUUUUAGUAAGUUGAAAUUUAUUUUAUUGAUACAUAAAUGGAAGAAAUGAGUUCUUAUUUAUAGGAAAAUGGAACCAAAAAAUUGAGUGGUUGGAGGAAAGCAUUAUAAAAGCAUGGUGAGUGGUUGGAGGAUAAGAUUGACGAAAGUCACGGGCAUUUGACAUCAUUAUUAAAGUUCGGUGAGUGGUUGGAGGAUAAGAUAGAUGAAAGUCACGGGAACUUGACCAAAUUAUUAAAGUUUGGUGAGUGGUUGGAAGCUAAGAUAGAUGAAAGUCACGGGCACUUGACCACAUUAUUAAAGUUUGGUGAGUGGUUGGAAGAUAAGAUAGAUGAAAGUCACGGGCACUUGACCACAUUAUUAAAGUUUGGUAUAAGAUAGAUGAAAGUCACAUGCACUUGACAGUACUAUUAAAGUUUGGUGAGUGAUUGAUAGAUAAGAUAGAUGAAAGUCACGGGCACUUGAAAGAAUUAUUAAAGUAUGUCGAGUGGUUCAAGGAUAAGAUUCUACAGAUAAAAGCUGAAAGAUACAUAUUACAUUAUUAAAAUAUAACAUGACAAACAAACAUUAUUAAAAUAGAAGAUGACAAACAAACAUUAUUAAAGCAUGAAGUGAUGUGAUACAGACAACCACUUGUGAUUAUAACUAAUUUUUAAAUAAUUCGUCGCUCAACUGUUUGAACAGCUCUUUGCUCUGGUCACUGAGAUGUUGCCUUUCACUUAGCUUCAACCACAUCUUCAUCUUCUUAGUCCGAAUUUUUUCUUUCAUCAGCUGGUUUGCUUCUUCUUGCCUUUGUAUUGCCUCUUUUUGCCUUUUGUUUAACUCCUCUUGCAACAUGGCUAUUUUUUCCAAGUGUUCCAGCUCUUGCGUCUUGAUUUGUUUGAAUUCAAUAAAAUCUUCAUUUAUUAUUUUUUCUGUGUCCAAAUCAAAUGAAACAAGUCACUAUUUAUAGAGUAUGAAAAAUGAAAAAUUUUGAUGUAAAAAUAUAUUUUUUAAAAAUAAAAAUUUAAGAGAUAAUUGAUUUGAAAUAAUAGAGAGAAAAAACAAAUCAGAAAUUUCACUUACCAGUGUUUUAGUGACAAGUGGCUUUUGGGGGGUCUAUUUUGUCUUAUCUUUAACGAUUCAACAAUGUUGAAUUAUUUCAACUAUGUUGAAUGCACUUAAGAUUCAAUUGUCUUUUCAAUACUCCAUUGCACCUUUUCAACUAUUGAAUCAAAAAAUUCAAUAGGCCAUUGUAAGUAGUCUUAUCUUACAAAAAUAAAGAAAACUAGGUGUUAUGCACGCAUAAUGUUCUUAUAAAUAUUUAUCUAUUUAUAACUAUUAAAUCAAAACUAACAUAAUAAAUUAUUAAUUAUUUCUUAAAAAAGAUAAAUCAAACACUAAAAUUUAUAUUUUAUAAUAAAAAUAAAUAUUUUCAUAUACAAACACAACAUAUUUAUGAAUUAUCUUAUGUUUUAAAAAUAUAUUUUAUUUGAAAAUUUUAUUAUAUUUACUUAUAGUCAAUUAUCUAAUAUAACAUAUAAAUAAAAUAUUAUUAAUAUAUAUUCAUUAAUUUUUAUCAAAAUAUAUAAAUGGUUAUUGUUGUGUUAAAUUUUAAAAAUAUUCAUAUAUUAGAAUUAUUUUAGAAAAUCAUUAGCAUGUAAUUAUAAAUUGUUUUAUAUCUAACUAUAAAUUUUAUAAUAAAAUAUUAUUUUCAGAUAACAAUAUAACAUAUCUAAGAAUUAUCUUAUGUUUUAAAUCGUGUUUUUAUUUUUGAAAAUUUUAUUAUAUUUAUUUAUAGUCAAUUAUCUAAUAUAAUAUAUAAAUAUAAUAUUAUUAAUAUUAAUUCGUUUAUAAUUAUUUAUAUUUUAGAUAAUUCUUAUUGUUAUUAAUUUUAAUCACUUAUUAAAUCAGAUAAUUUUUUUUGACUAAUUUAUAUAAUUUAUUUAUUAAGAAUAUAAACGAUUUAUUAUUAGUUUUAAUCACUUUUUAAUAGAUAGAUUUGAAAUUCGUUUUUAUUUUUUGAUUAAUUUAUUUAUUGUGUCCACCACUUUCAGGUCUUGGCUAGCAAAACCAAGAUCUACAUGGUCCUUGAAUGUGUCACUGGAAGAGACUUAUUUGACAGAAUUGUAAGAUUCAUGUAUACAGUGAGUUGUUUUUUUUUUGUGUAAAUGAACAGUGACAGUUUCGUCGGUUAACCAAAGGUUGGUUUAUAUAAACAUGCUAUGUUCAUUCUCAGGUCUCCAAAGGAAAACUUUCAGAAACAGAAGGAAGAAAAAUGUUUCAGCAGUUGAUUGAUGGAAUAAGCUAUUGUCAUAACAAGGGCAUUUUCCACAGGGAUCUCAAGGUCUGUGUGUACACGUUUUUAGAAAAACUUCAAACUUUGUUUGUAGUAUUCAGACACAUGUUCUGAUACCAAGGUUUCUGUUUUGAAGCUAGAGAAUGUUCUUCUUGAUGAAAAUGGGCACAUUAAGAUCACUGAUUUUGGCGUUCGUGCUGUGCCUCAGCAUUUUAGGGUAAUAUCCUAAACCUAUAUAUUUAAAUCAGCAGAAAGAAACCUAUGUUCAGACUUUUUUGGCAUGUCAGGAAGAUGGAUUGCUACAUACAACCUGUGGUAGUCCUAACUACGUCGCACCUGAGGUUCAAGCUAACAAGGGCUAUGAUGGUGCAGCAUCAGAUAUAUGGUCAUGUGGAGUAAUCUUGUAUGUUAUUCUUACUGGUUGUCUCCCUUUUGAUGAUACAAACCUCGCCGUUCUUUGCCGGAAGGUGCUGCCUUUUGUGGUUUUUUUCUCUGUUUUCCAUAGUUUAAUUUAUGUUUUAAAGAAACAUAACUGAAAGAUAUUAGCCUUUUCAGAUAGUCAAAGG